UUUGUGUGUAACAUGCAUUCGGUGAUAUAUCUAACCGAUUUAAAUUUUCGGAAAAUGCCCUGUUUCGGUUUUAACAAUAAUUGUAAGAUAAUAUAAAUACAUAUCAAUAUCAUACUUAAUAUCGAUAUAUAACACAAGGAUUUUAUGCGGUAGAAUAAAACGAAUUGCUGAAAAAUGGCAGCAGGCAUUCCUUAUACUCACCUGUACAGAGUAUUACGACCAGCAGAAGAUCCAAAAGUUGGUAUAACUGCAAAAUCACCAUCAAGUUCUGUUAGCGUGAGUUCUCACGUUGGUUGUGGAGGACUAAGCACGCAGUAUAUAUCAACUUGCGCUACUGAAAGUUCGGCAAGGCGGUUUGCCAAUCUUGGAAUCAUGCAUCAUGAUCAAUCAUGUCCAAAGAAAAUUAUAACCAUCGACGUGGAAAAAUUAAAGCUAGCAAACCCGGGAGUAAGGAUCAUAAAUCUGACAGAUUUUAAUGAAUUGAACACUUACAUUCCAGUGGAUGAGAGUACAGCAAGGCACUGGGCUGUGGACUGGGAUGAAGUUCUAAUAGUUGGCACCAUACCCCCGGCAUGUAUUACGAAAGUCGAAGAAAUCUGACAAAAGUUAGUUAUUGUUGUAGAAAUGUAGCUAUUUAUAAAAUAUACAAGAAAGUAAAUGAAAUACGUAGCGAAAAUGAGAUAUCAGGAGAUAAACAUUACUUAACAGAACACUUUCGAGCGAUGAUAUACUUGAAAUAAUAGCUGUUAUUAAGGAAUUCAUUUUUUUUCACUUAAGUUGAUUGCAUUACCUUUAAGUUAGUUAGCGAUUUUCAUGAAUGUAGUGAUUCCUAAUUUUGUACUUUUCAAGUAGUCUUAUACAUGUACUGAGCUUUCAAUAUCUGACCCUAUCAAUUCAAUAAUGGGAAAUGCUUAUGAUUUGUUUCAUUAUUUAAUCAUUUCUCUUUUGUAAUAUAUUAUAAAUGUAGAAUUUAUAAGGAACAUUUUAAUACAAUUGUCAGUACUUUAAUCAUAUAUACACGUAUUGUUCUUUACGUAACUAUAACCUUAAACCUCCACACUAAUGCAUGUGAAAUAACUUUACCCGAUGAAAUUAUUUAAUGAUAACGCUGAUUAUUCGCAAAAGCAUUACCAUUUCAAAAACCAAUUCACUAUCUUUUAUGUUUUUCGAGUAGACUUUUUUUGAGAUAAGCUGCGAUAGAUAUUUAUGACUCAUAUUUAGCUGAUUAUCGUCAAUCGUUCUAUUAUAAUAUAAGGUUAUUUAACAGCUGAAUUGUUUGACGGGUACGAAGCAUUUGUUACCCAUAUUUAGACAAUGCAUAGAAUACCUAGUCCAAAUAUGGAUUAUUACUGCUGUGUACGAGUACAAUAGAAUUCAGUACUGUACCCGACAUUGUUGAAUUACCUCCAUAUUUUAUACAAUGAUAAAAACUGAAAUGACGGGAAAAUGAAUAUUCACAAUUUUUUGAUUGACGAGUGGAAACAUUCCAAACAUUUUAAAGGUCCAAUACUAAAGAAAGUGAACAUUUUAAUUUCUUUUAAAAAGCACAGAAACUAUUUCAUUUUAUUGGAAAAUGAAAGUUGGUAUGUAGAAAUUCGAAAUAAAUCGCAGUAUAUGUACAAUUAUUUUUCUAUGAAGUAUGAAGAAAGUUAAAAAGACCUGGGGGGUCAUUCUGUCGAUUCAUUGAAAUUUCAACAUAAUACACAUACAUUUCUUUGAGUUCCAAAGACCUUCUGCAAAUUUUGACCUGCCAAUCUUCAUUAUUUAGUGUCUUGCAGAAGUCCAUGCACUGGCUAUGAAAAAAAAUUGCCAACUCACUUUCCCUUAGUAAUGGACCUUUAAGGAGAGAGUUUCAAAUAAGCUUUCAGCUUCCUACUCAAUCCUGUAUGCCUUUUUGAUAUAUGUACAUGUUGUAAAUGAAUUGUGAUUAAUACAAUAUUGUUUAAACCAAACAUUUUAAGUUCAAGUUUUUUUCUCAUAAGACGUAUAUCAAUAUAAGGUGAUUGUGCUAUCAUGCAGGUUUUUCACAUGCAAUACACCUAAAAUGUAAUUCGUGUAUUAACUCCAAAUAAGCCUAUUUCAACCACGAUGUUUUCAACCGUUAGCCUAGAUCUAAUAUUUUUACUGACAGCACCAAGAUAUUCAAAAGCAACGUUUCAUCUAACGUUGAGCCGUUAUAAUCCUAUUAUUUUACUAUCUCAAAAGCAAAAUACAAUGAAAAAAUAGUAUUCAAAUUAAAUAUGAUUAAAUAAAAUGGUAUAAAAAAUUAUGCAGUACAACAAACGGUGCCGGUUAAUAAGCAACAUUGCACCCAUUCACAACAAUGUCAGGUAAUAAAGAUUGUGUGAAAUUAUGUUACAAAAAAUAGAUUGAAAAUUUCAAAACUUCCGACCUUUUACUUCACAUUUCAGUUUAAAUCCACAAAACAACAUAUUAAGCAACGUUACCAUAAUGGUUUUCACGUAAAAACACUACUAGUGACUUGUAAAAAACAAAGAUGAUCUGCAGUAUUUUGAGUAAGCGUCAAUUUAUUGCAGUAUAUUUAUUAACUGUAGUAAGUACAUAUGUAACUUAGUAACACACGUGAAAAUAUGCUGAUUAACAUGCUCUUGUAUCCAUGUAUAAUUCCAUAAAUUUGGGAAAACCAUGUAUAAAUCAACAAAAUCCAAUAAUGACGUACAUGUACUCAUUCUAACGUGGGCUGUUACUGACUUUAGAAAUUUACCUUAAUGAUGUCAGUGGUGUUUUACAAGGUUUAAUAAACGGUUUUAUUAACAACGUUUCAGAUGUGAAAACUACGACGUCGUUCAAUAUAAUAGGUUGAAACAGCGAAAUUUACGAACAUGUCUAUCAAGCAUUCGUCUUGUCUGCUUGGCAAGUAAUUUCAUUGACGUCAAUAUCUAUAUGCAUAAAACUAUAAGAAGCAUGUAAAAUACAAUCAAGACUUCCAAUCAACUCGGCGCUGGACCGCUAAAAUGAGCCGUUAUGGUUUGGGUGUCGAAACGGGAGUCGUUUGUAGCUUCCUGUCAAAGCAUCUGAAAAUAUAUUGACACAACGGCAGGGUUACAUGUUUUGUGGAACAAUGUUUAAGGCCUGAUCAUCUACUACAACAUUCUUACAUCACAUUUCCGUAUCUAAAACAUACAACAAACAUUUUGGUACUAUAUUUAAUACCGGUAUAUAUAUAGAAAUAAAACAAUUUUGGCCAUUCAUAAAAACGUAGUUAUUGUUUUGGAAAAAAUAGGAUUACAUUUUAAAACGAGGGAGAGGAGGAAUUGUAUGAUUAUCCGCAAUUUCUGGUUUUCAGCGUUUUAAAUUAUUGAAAACUGACUCGUAAGAAUAAAAUCAUAUACUGACAAAAUGUUCUAACCCAACACAGUUUUACGAAUAUCUUUUCAUUUACUUUAUUCACAUUUCUGAAAUUUUUAACACACUUAGAAACAAUCUAUUGGUAAUGAAAAUUUGAAAUGGCAGCAAACAUAUGAUUUUAUUAUAAUUUUGAUACCUCAACCCAUUUCUAAAAUGUCAUGAAAUACGCAUUGAUAUAUAAAUUGCAUUCAUACAAGUAACUCGCCGAUUUCAGCCAUGAAUAAUGAUUAUUCAAUAUAAUAUUCACACAUGAACUGCUGCAUUCUGACACAGUUAGGGUAAAAUAUUUCGAAUGUGAAGUAACUCGUACAAAGUUUGCUUUUCUAAAACGAUUGAUAAUAGAUGAUCUGGGUAUGUCUGACAAGUAUUUGUUACGGGAUUUCACGUUUUUUGUUAUUUGUCAGAGAUACUUUUUACAUCAGAUUUUGAGUAUUUGAACUUUUUCCCUAAGAUUUAGCAUCCAACAGUGUAUGGAAGUAGAUUUGAGAGCGCGAAUCUGUAAUAAGUGGACAAAAAGAUGAAGUUAAUUCGUUUUCUCAAAACUAUGCCCAUAAAAAUUAAUUGUCUUUCUUUACUAGCUUUCUGAACGUUUUAUGAUAUGUUCUUGUGCUUAAAUUAUACGUUUAUAAAAUUCGAUACAAUCAUGUGUUUUGUAAGUUUUUAAAAUGAGUACAUUGUAGAACGGAUUAAAUUGGUUUUAUUAGAAA
Mercenaria mercenaria is the source of this 4076-nucleotide long non-coding RNA. RefSeq lists it as uncharacterized. The record is from RefSeq and is a predicted model, not a curated record. The transcript is spliced from 2 exons. NCBI's taxonomy places the organism in Eukaryota, Metazoa, Mollusca, Bivalvia, Venerida, Veneridae.